This 433-nucleotide ribosomal RNA is filed under the name uncultured bacterium. RNAcentral's name for it is "partial 16S ribosomal RNA". It matches the Rfam family "Bacterial small subunit ribosomal RNA", at positions 29 to 507 of the family's 1533-position model. The record is from RNAcentral.
AGCGAACGCUGGCGGCAGGCUUAACACAUGCAAGUCGAGCGGGCCCUUCGGGGUCAGCGGCAGACGGGUGAGUAACGCGUGGGAACGUGCCCUUCGGUUCGGAAUAACUCAGGGAAACUUGAGCUAAUACCGGAUACGCCCUUAUGGGGAAUGGUUUACUGCCGAAGGAUCGGCCCGCGUCUGAUUAGCUAGUUGGUGAGGUGAUGGCUCACCAAGGCGACGAUCAGUAGCUGGUCUGAGAGGAUGAUCAGCCACACUGGGACUGAGACACGGCCCAGACUCCUACGGGAGGCAGCAGUGGGGAAUAUUGGACAAUGGGGGCAACCCUGAUCCAGCCAUGCCGCGUGAGUGAUGACGGCCUUAGGGUUGUAAAGCUCUUUUCUCCGGGACGAUAAUGACGGUACCGGAGGAAUAAGCCCCGGCUAACUUCGUG